AUUGAACGCUGGCGGCAUGCUUUACACAUGCAAGUCGAACGGUAACAGGGAGCUUGCUCCGCUGACGAGUGGCGAACGGGUGAGUAAUGCAUCGGAACGUACCCAGUCGUGGGGAUAACGUAGCGAAAGUUACGCUAAUACCGCAUACGUCCUGAGGGAGAAAGCGGGGGACCGUAAGGCCUCGCGCGAUUGGAGCGGCCGAUGUCGGAUUAGCUAGUUGGUGGGGUAAAGGCCUACCAAGGCGACGAUCCGUAGCGGGUCUGAGAGGAUGAUCCGCCACACUGGGACUGAGACACGGCCCAGACUCCUACGGGAGGCAGCAGUGGGGAAUUUUGGACAAUGGGGGCAACCCUGAUCCAGCCAUGCCGCGUGAGUGAAGAAGGCCUUCGGGUUGUAAAGCUCUUUCGGCCGGGAAAAAAUCGCAUCAGUUAAUACCUGGUGUGGAUGAUGGUACCGGAAUAAGAAGCACCGGCUAACUACGUG
RNAcentral lists this ribosomal RNA (483 nucleotides) under uncultured bacterium. RNAcentral's name for it is "bacterial SSU rRNA". It matches the Rfam family "Bacterial small subunit ribosomal RNA", at positions 30 to 507 of the family's 1533-position model. The record is from RNAcentral.